CUAAAAAAAAACAGCCGAGAAAAGGAAACUAAAACUACAGAAGCCUUUCCAUCUUAAUCCACAGCAGCUGGAGGGCAUGGAAGACCAUCAUUUCGGGGCACAAGGGUGAGGGACGGUGGUGGCUUGCUGGCCCAUCUGUUAAGACCCACCGACCGAUGUCCAAGCAAGGUUGCCGUAUGGGCUGCCUAAUUUGCUUCACGGGGAAUCCAUUCCCAAGAGACAUGAUCAAAGAACUUGCUUCUCCACUUGAAUUUGAAUCUUUCUCAGAUUGAGAUCGGUGGCUAAAUUGAUCCCUAGAAGGAUUGCCUUGGCUUCUGCAGCUUCUACGAAACAGUUCUGGGAAAAUGCAGCUGCUCCUCCAAUAACACCGCAACUGUGGUCGCGCAACAAAACACCAAUGCCACCGGAGAUUGAGCUUACCCAUGCUGCAUCGCAAUUGAUGGCAAUGGUACCUGGAGAGGGGGGUCUCUGUCGGGCUUGGUUCAGCUGCCGUCAUAUACUCAAGAGUUGAUUCCAUCCCAAUCUUAAGAAUCCGGGAAAGAGAGAUCAUAUUGUGUUGGUAGACAAAGCUACACCUAGCCUUCCAUAUUGCCCAAGCUAGAAAGCUGAUCCAGUGCCGUGAGGAAGGCAAGGUCAGGAAGGUGUUGAAAGUGGAACCUCUUCCAGAUGGAUCUGGCCGUUUCUUUAACCUCAGUCCAUGAGAAGGCCCAGCAAGCAUUCAUUCUUACCCACUCCAAGCUUUCAAAACCCAUAGAGAAUUGAAAAGUUGUUGGAUAUUUUUUUCUUUUUCUAUUUUCAAUUCAAUUUUUUAUUUAUUCUCGUGUGGAUAACUGUACUCCUAACGUUAAGUUAUUCCCUUGAAAAAUAUCGAUUAUUUUUCAAAGGAGAAAUAUCAAUUAUAUUACCUAAAAAGAUGGAUAUUGGUGUCUCAUGGUUCAACCAUGAAUAGAGAAUGAGCAUGUAUGCAUCCAUGAAGUUUCUGUGGAAAAUAUAUAUUAUGAUGUGUUGUAGGAAAUAGUUGGUGCUUACUUAACAAGUUGAUAUU
Molecule: long non-coding RNA, 1045 nt
Filed under: Rosa chinensis
Lineage: Eukaryota; Viridiplantae; Streptophyta; Magnoliopsida; Rosales; Rosaceae
Description: sRNA RchiOBHm_Chr4g0440401
Source: RNAcentral